This 468-nucleotide ribosomal RNA is filed under the name uncultured bacterium. RNAcentral describes it as "partial 16S ribosomal RNA". It matches the Rfam family "Bacterial small subunit ribosomal RNA", at positions 28 to 507 of the family's 1533-position model. The record is from RNAcentral.
GAUGAACGCUGGCGGCGUGCUUAACACAUGCAAGUCGAACGGUGAAGGCGUAGGUUGCUCUGCUGGAUCAGUGGCGAACGGGUGAGUAACACGAGAGCAAUCUGCCCCAGAUUUUGGGAGGAGCGCUGGAAACGACGCCUACUACUGGAUACGAGCCGCCAUGGCAUUUUCAGCAGCUGGACAGAAGUUCGGGCUGGGAUGAGUUCGCGGCCUAUCAGCUUGUUGGUGAGGUAAUGGCACACCAAGGCGGCGACGGGUAGCCGGCCUGAGAGGGUGACCGGGCACACUGCGACUGAGAGACGGCCCAGACUCCUACGGGAGACAGCAGUGGGGAAUAUUGCACAAUGGGCGCAAGCCUGAUGCAGCAGCGCCGCGUGAGGGAAGACGGCCUUCGGGUUGUAAACAUCAUUUAGCAGGGAAGAAGCGAAAGUGACGGUACCUGAAGAAAAAGCACCGGCUAACUACGUG